UCCACCAAGAAGAUUAACAAAUUACAUAUCACUAAACACCCUCCAAACCUAGGUGUUAAUGGAAAUAAGGGAUCGCUUCCUAGAGCAAGAAGGAUGCGGAUCCACCCAAGUCAAUGUGAUUCAAAUAAAUAUUAUCUCUACCAGUGCGACCACAGCUACAAAAUGGAAGACUGCAUCCAACUUCAGGAUGAGAUUGAAAGCUUAUCUAGCAUAGACAUCUAGAUUGAUUCAUUAGACGUUAGCUUGAGUAGUAGGAAGAACAGCGGAGAUCACCACGACCAUCAGAGCAACAGCAAGGGAACCCAGAGAUCGAUUUGUAAACAGAAUAAUAAAUACCAUAACUAGGG
Molecule: long non-coding RNA, 347 nt
Filed under: Elaeis guineensis (African oil palm)
Lineage: Eukaryota; Viridiplantae; Streptophyta; Magnoliopsida; Arecales; Arecaceae
Description: long non-coding RNA (EGUI_LNC031164)
Source: RNAcentral